This 475-nucleotide ribosomal RNA is filed under the name Micrococcineae bacterium CL3.86. Its description in RNAcentral is "bacterial SSU rRNA". It matches the Rfam family "Bacterial small subunit ribosomal RNA", at positions 17 to 503 of the family's 1533-position model. Lineage: Bacteria; Bacillati; Actinomycetota; Actinomycetes; Micrococcales. The record is from RNAcentral.
CCCUGGCUCAGGAUGAACGCUGGCGGCGUGCUUAACACAUGCAAGUCGAACGAUGACCCGGUGCUUGCACCGGGGAUUAGUGGCGAACGGGUGAGUAACACGUGAGUAACCUGCCCUUAACUCUGGGAUAAGCCUGGGAAACUGGGUCUAAUACCGGAUAUGACUCCUCAUCGCAUGGUGGGGGGUGGAAAGCUUUAUUGUGGUUUUGGAUGGACUCGCGGCCUAUCAGCUUGUUGGUGAGGUAAUGGCUCACCAAGGCGACGACGGGUAGCCGGCCUGAGAGGGUGACCGGCCACACUGGGACUGAGACACGGCCCAGACUCCUACGGGAGGCAGCAGUGGGGAAUAUUGCACAAUGGGCGAAAGCCUGAUGCAGCGACGCCGCGUGAGGGAUGACGGCCUUCGGGUUGUAAACCUCUUUCAGUAGGGAAGAAGCGAAAGUGACGGUACCUGCAGAAGAAGCGCCGGCUAACUA